AUUGAACGCUGGCGGCAGGCUUAACACAUGCAAGUCGAACGCUCCGCAAGGAGAGUGGCAGACGGGUGAGUAACGCGUGGGAACGUACCUUUCAGUGCGGAAUAAUUCAGGGAAACUUGUGCUAAUACCGGAUACGCCCGUAAGGGGAAAGAUUUAUCGCUGAAAGAUCGGCCCGCGUUGGAUUAGCUAGUUGGUGGGGUAAUGGCCUACCAAGGCGACGAUCCAUAGCUGGUCUGAGAGGAUGAUCAGCCACACGGGGACUGAGACACGGCCCAGACUCCUACGGGAGGCAGCAGUGGGGAAUAUUGGACAAUGGGCGAAAGCCUGAUCCAGCCAUGCAGCGUGAGUGAUGAAGGCCCUAGGGUUGUAAAGCUCUUUCACCGAUGAAGAUAAUGACGGUAGUCGGAGAAGAAGCCCCGGCUAACUUCGUGCCAGCCGCCGCAGUAA
RNAcentral lists this ribosomal RNA (447 nucleotides) under uncultured bacterium. Its description in RNAcentral is "partial 16S ribosomal RNA". It matches the Rfam family "Bacterial small subunit ribosomal RNA", at positions 30 to 523 of the family's 1533-position model. The record is from RNAcentral.